CAUGCAAGUCCAACGAUCCUUUCGGGGAUAGUGGCGCACGGGUGCGUAACGCGUGGGAAUCUGCCCUUGGGUUCGGAAUAACUUCGGGAAACUGAAGCUAAUACCGGAUGAUGACGAAAGUCCAAAGAUUUAUCGCCCAGGGAUGAGCCCGCGUAGGAUUAGCUAGUUGGUGGGGUAAAGGCCUACCAAGGCGACGAUCCUUAGCUGGUCUGAGAGGAUGAUCAGCCACACUGGGACUGAGACACGGCCCACACUCCGACCGGAGGCACCAGUAGGGAAUAUUGGACAAUGGGCGAAAGCCUGAUCCAGCAAUGCCGCGUGAGUGAUGAAGGCCUUAGGGUUGUAAAGCUCUUUUACCCCACAUGAUAAUGACAGUAUCGGGAGAAUAAGCUCCGGCUAACUCCGUGCCAGCAGCCGCGGUAAUACGGAGGGAGCUAGCGUUGUUCGGAAUUACUGGGCGUAAAGCGCACGUAUGCGGCGAUUUAAGUCAGAUGUGAAAGCCCGGGGCUCAACCCCGGAACUGCCUUUGAGACUGGAUUGCUAGAAUCUUGGAGAGGCGAGUGGAAUUCCGAGUGUAGAGGUGAAAUUCGUAGAUAUUCGGGAGAACACCAGUGGCGAAGCAGCUCGCUCGACAACUACUGACUCUGACGUGCGAAAGCGUGGNNNAGCAANNNNGAUUAGAUANNCUGNUANUCCACGCNGUNAACGAUGANANCUAGCUGCUGGGGCNCAUGNUGNUUNNGNNGCGCAGCUAACGCAUUAAGUUAUCCGCCUGGGGAGUACGGUCGCAAGGUUAAAACUCAAAGGAAUUGACGGGGGCCUGCACAAGCGGUGGAGCAUGUGGUUUAAUUCGAAGCAACGCGCAGAACCUUACCAGCGUUUGACGUUCUCAUCGCGGAUUUCAGAGAUGAUUUCCUUCAGUUCGGCUGGAUGAGUGACAGGUGCUGCAUGGCUGUCGUCAGCUCGUGUCGUGAGAUGUUGGGUUAAGUCCCGCAACGAGCGCAACCCUCGCCUUUAGUUGCCAGCAUUUAGUUGGGUACUCUAAAGGAACCGCCGGUGAUAAGCCGGAGGAAGGUGGGGAUGACGUCAAGUCCUCAUGGCCCUUACGCGCUGGGCUACACACGUGCUACAAUGGCGAUUACAGUGGGCUGCAACCGUGCGAGCGGUAGCUAAUUUCCAAAAGUCGUCUCAGUUCGGAUUGUUCUUUGCAACUUGAGAGCAUGAAGGCGGAAUCGCUAGUAAUCGCGGAUCAGCAUGCCGCGGUGAAUACGUUCCCAGGCCUUGUACACACCGCCCGUCACACCAUGGGAUUUGGAUUCACCGGAAGGCAUUGCGCUAACCCGCAAGGGAGGCAGGUGACCACGGUGGGUUUAGCGACUGGGGUUAAGUCCCA
Molecule: ribosomal RNA, 1393 nt
Filed under: uncultured Sphingobium sp.
Lineage: Bacteria; Pseudomonadati; Pseudomonadota; Alphaproteobacteria; Sphingomonadales; Sphingobiaceae
Description: bacterial SSU rRNA
Rfam family: Bacterial small subunit ribosomal RNA
Source: RNAcentral